GAUGAAGAACGUAGCGAAAUGCGAUAAGUAAUGUGAAUUGCAGAAUUCAGUGAAUCAUCGAAUCUUUGAACGCACAUUGCGCCCUCUGGUAUUCCGGGGGGCAUGCCUGUUCGAGCGUCAUUAUAACCACUCAAGCUCUCGCUUGGUAUUGGAGUUCGCGAUCUCGCGGCCCCUAAAAUCAGUGGCGGUGCCUGUCGGCUCUACGCGUAGUAAUACUCCUCGCGAUUGAGUCCGGUAGGUUUACUUGCCAGCAACCCCCAAUUUUUACAGGUUGACCUCGGAUCAGGUAGGGAUACCCGCUGAACUUAAGCAUAUCAAUAAGCGGAGGA
This 329-nucleotide unclassified non-coding RNA is filed under the name soil metagenome. RNAcentral's name for it is "partial contains 5.8S ribosomal RNA, internal transcribed spacer 2, and large subunit ribosomal RNA". The stretch from base 1 to 120 matches the Rfam family "5.8S ribosomal RNA", at positions 35 to 154 of the family's 154-position model. The record is from RNAcentral.